RNAcentral lists this long non-coding RNA (1581 nucleotides) under Pongo abelii (Sumatran orangutan). RNAcentral describes it as "lincRNA". Lineage: Eukaryota; Metazoa; Chordata; Mammalia; Primates; Hominidae. The record is from RNAcentral.
AUUUACAAAAUGUUCAUGGCAGUGCCCACUUCACAGGGCUGUGAGGAUUACAGAGGAUAAUCCGGGCGAGGCGCAUCAGCCCCAGCGCCGCCUGCCACAAUUCUAUCCGGCCCCACAUAUGCAUCGUCCAUAAGCGUCUGGCCCCUGCAUUCUCGCUUUUCCACGUGGCCGAGGUGCACACCCCAACCCACUGGGCCAGUCUCCCCACCCUCUUACCUGCUCUUCUUUCCCGACUCGUCUUUAAUACCCACCAGGCGCCAACCGCCGCGGGCCUGGCUCUGUGGUGGCAAGUUGCAUGGGUUCUCCCAUCAGGACCUCCCGAUGAGCCUACGAGGUCGGUUCUAUUACUGUCGCCACUUCAGAGGGAGGAAACAGGCCCGGAGGGUUGGGGAACUUCCCGAGGUCACAGAACUGGUGUCAGGCCCAGAUUGGAAUCCAAACACAUCCCAGCCCAUGUCCAACUCCCCAGCGACGGCCCCUGGGCGUCUUCCCGGGUGCCAGGGGCACCCGCAUCCAUUCAAUUGCUGCCCAGUCCCCGCUCCUCAGUCGCUUCCCGCUACUCCGGGCCCGCAUCUCCCCCCGACCCCUCAGGGUCAGGCCUCUGGAUUUUCCUUUUUCUCUUCCAGAAACUAAGGGGUGAGACCGACGUUUGUGUGCCGGACGCGUGCAGGUGGCCGCGACGUUCCCGGGAGACACGCGGGGGGAAAACGAGUCUGUGCGCGCGGCUGUGAGAAGCCCCGACCAAGCUUUCCACACGCUUGUUUCGGGGAGCAGAGGACGCGAGGGCCGACUGAGUCCCCAGCGCGCAGGCUCGGCCGGGGGCGCGUAAUCAGGCAGCCGAGCGGUCCCUUCAAACCGAGUCAGGCAAGCUCUACGUCGUGGGGGCCGCAUGGUGCCGAGAGCGCAGCCCCGCCCCGCCCCUCCGCGCUUAAUGGUUAGUUGGGUAACAGCCAGUGGUGGUAACGCCACGCCACGCACGCGCUCGGCUCCGCGCUUAAUGGCUGGAGUGCAGUGGCGCGAUCUCGGCUCACUGCAACCUCCAUCUCCCGGGUUCAAGCAAUUCUCUGCCUCAGCCUCCCGAGUGGCUGGGAUUACAGAAGCAGUAUCUGACAGUGUUGCCCAGGCUGGUCUUGAACUCCUGGCCUCAAAUGAUUCUCCUGCCUUGGCCUCCUAAAGUGCUGGGAUUACAGACAUGUUUAUUCAAUUUUUAAUGUCAGACCAUAAGAAUAUCAGGUCUCUGAGCCCAAGCUAAGCCAUCAUAUCCCCUGUGACCUGCAUGUAUGCAUCCAGAUGGCCUGAAGAAACUGAAGAAUCACAAAAGUGAAAAUGGCCUGUUCCUGCCUUAACUGAUGACAUUACCUUGUGAAAUUCCUUCUCCUGGCUCAUCCUGGCUCAAAAGCUCCCCCACUGAGCACCUUGUGACCCCCACUUCUGCCUACCAGAGAACAAUCCCCUUUGACUGUAAUUUCCCACUACCUUCCCAAAUCCUAUAAAAUGGCCCCACCCCAUCUCCCUUCACUGACUCUUUUAAGACUCAGCCCGCCUGCACCCAGGUGAAAUAAACAGCCUUGUUGCUCACAC